Non-coding RNA from Nycticebus coucang (slow loris), 636 nucleotides. The record is from the annotation of a RefSeq genome assembly. Lineage: Eukaryota; Metazoa; Chordata; Mammalia; Primates; Lorisidae.
UUCCCCAAUGCAGGGAUGGAAGACACAAGAUUCCGCCCUAGACUUGAAAUGGGCCCCUGGCUCUUCUACGUGGCCCUGUGUCUCCUGGCAGCAGGACACAUGGAUGCUGGAAUUACCCAGAACCCAAGAUACAAGGUCGCAGAGACAGGAAAGCAGGUGACACUAGAAUGUCAUCAGACUAAUAAGCAUGACUAUAUGUACUGGUACCGACAAGAUCUGGGCCAUGGGCUGAGGCUGAUCCAUUACUCAUAUGAUGUUAAAAUCACUGACAAAGGAGAAGUCCCCGAUGGCUACAACGUCUCCAGACCAAGCACAGAGAAUUUUUCCCUCACUCUGGAGUCUGCCACCCGCUCCCAGACAUCUGUGUACUUCUGUGCCAGCAGUGAUCCACAGUGCUGCUCAGCUGUCUCCUCUCUGCACAUAAAGGGCAAUGAUGCUGUAGUGGAUGAUUCACAGUGGCACAAGGAUAGAUUUUCUGCAGAGAGACCCAAAGGAGCAAACUCCACACUUAGGAGCCCGCAGGAGGGGCUGGGGGACUCGUCCAUGUACCUCUGCACCAGCAGCAGGCAUAGUGCUGACGAGAUGAUUCCUGUGCACAGAACUGACGAGUCUCUUCUCUCUACUCAGCUGACAUGA